This 254-nucleotide ribosomal RNA is filed under the name uncultured bacterium. RNAcentral describes it as "partial 16S ribosomal RNA". It matches the Rfam family "Bacterial small subunit ribosomal RNA", at positions 524 to 776 of the family's 1533-position model. The record is from RNAcentral.
UACGUAGGGGGCGAGCGUUGUCCGAAGUUACUGGGCGUAAAGCGCGCGUAGGUGGUCAUUUAAGUCUGAGGUGAAAGGUUCAGCGCUCAACGUGAACAGUGCCUUGGAUACUGGGUGACUUGAGUUCGGGAGGGGGCUGUGGAAUUCCAGGUGUAGCGGUGAAAUGCGUAGAUAUCUGGAGGAACACCGAUGGCGAAGGCAGCAGCCUGGCCCAGAACUGACACUGAGGUGCGAAAGCGUGGGGAGCGAACGGG